This 425-nucleotide ribosomal RNA is filed under the name uncultured bacterium. RNAcentral's name for it is "partial 16S ribosomal RNA". It matches the Rfam family "Bacterial small subunit ribosomal RNA", at positions 354 to 796 of the family's 1533-position model. The record is from RNAcentral.
GUGGGGAAUCUUAGACAAUGGGCGCAAGCCUGAUCUAGCCAUGCCGCGUGAGUGAUGAAGGCCCUAGGGUUGUAAAGCUCUUUCAGCUGGGAAGAUAAUGACGGUACCAGCAGAAGAAGCCCCGGCUAACUCCGUGCCAGCAGCCGCGGUAAUACGGAGGGGGCUAGCGUUGUUCGGAAUUACUGGGCGUAAAGCGCGCGUAGGCGGACUGAAAAGUUGGGGGUGAAAUCCCGGGGCUCAACCUCGGAACUGCCUUCAAAACUAUCAGUCUGGAGUUCGAGAGAGGUGAGUGGAAUUCCGAGUGUAGAGGUGAAAUUCGUAGAUAUUCGGAGGAACACCAGUGGCGAAGGCGGCUCACUGGUCCAUUACUGACGCUGAGGUGCGAAAGCGUGGGGAGCAAACAGGAUUAGAUACCCCGGUAGUCC